AUGGUUUCUUCCGAGAGACGUCAAGUUGAUGAACAUGUCAAUAAGAUCAUUGAACUGAAAAAUAAGGUAUUUUGCUUAGUGUGUCCCCUCCUCUCUCUCUCUCUCUCUCUCUCUCUCUCUCUGCUUGCGCGUUUCUAUGACAUGCAGUUUCUCUCAGGAAGUUACAAUAGUUUUGUGGUGAUCAACCAGAAAAUCAUUGGUCCUCCAUCCAUCAAUCUCCUAGCUAAACUAGGGGUAACAAAAUCUGACUUGUUACUACAUGAAUGUUCUAUUUCACUUACAUUUAACCCUAUGAGCUGUUUGGGGUUCCAGUUUAGUGCAGAAUGUGGGUCAUGA
This 336-nucleotide ribosomal RNA is filed under the name Triticum aestivum (bread wheat). RNAcentral's name for it is "partial small subunit ribosomal RNA". The record is from RNAcentral. Lineage: Eukaryota; Viridiplantae; Streptophyta; Magnoliopsida; Poales; Poaceae.